Molecule: unclassified non-coding RNA, 344 nt
Filed under: soil metagenome
Description: partial contains 5.8S ribosomal RNA, internal transcribed spacer 2, and large subunit ribosomal RNA
Rfam family: 5.8S ribosomal RNA (bases 1-120)
Source: RNAcentral
GAUGAAGAACGCAGCGAAAUGCGAUACGUAAUGUGAAUUGCAGAAUUCAGUGAAUCAUCGAGUCUUUGAACGCACAUUGCGCCCUCUGGUAUUCCGGAGGGCAUGCCUGUCCGAGCGUCAUUGCUGCCCUCAAGCACGGCUUGUGUGUUGGGCCCCGCCCCCCGAUCCCGGGGGGCGGGCCCGAAAGGCAGCGGCGGCACCGCGUCCGGUCCUCGAGCGUAUGGGGCUUUGUCACCCGCUCUGUAGGCCCGGCCGGCGCUUGCCGAUCAACCAAACUUUUUUCCAGGUUGACCUCGGAUCAGGUAGGGAUACCCGCUGAACUUAAGCAUAUCAUAAGCGGAGGA